Molecule: long non-coding RNA, 4027 nt
Filed under: Homo sapiens (human)
Lineage: Eukaryota; Metazoa; Chordata; Mammalia; Primates; Hominidae
Description: PREDICTED lncRNA (TCONS_00230962)
Source: RNAcentral
GUUUCAUCUGUGAGGAGUACCCUUUCUGCAGCCGUUGUUUCAUCUGUGAGAAGCACCCUUUCUGCAGAAAGUAAAAAUUGCCUGGCUGAGAAAAUUAAAUUUAUGUUCGAAGCUUUUCUUGCAGCACUGGGGAACAAGCAUUUUGCAUUUCUAACAUGGAUCAUAAGGAAGAUCCAUCGAAAAAAAGAGCCAAAUCGCAAUCAUAGUUGUGAAAAAUAUUAUAGACCCAUAAUGUAUGUGAUGAAGGAUGGCUGUGGCUGGACAGUGAGCAGGAAGAGGAGUGAGGAAUUCUCAUGGAAGGUCCUGGAAAGAACUGGAGAUUUAAAAAUCAAAGACAAGUUAGGAGACAUGAAGGAGAAAACUAGAUGUACUAAUAUAUCGGUAUCAAGAACCCCUGUGGGAGAUAAAGGAUGAAAGAAAGAAACAUUUGAAGAAAGAAUCUAAGGAAACUUUUCAAAACUAUAGAAGAAGAAAAGACCUCACAUUGAAAAGAUUCAUAAAUUGCCAAAGAGGGGAAAACAGCACACACACAAAAAACACCAGUAGACCCAUUAAGUAAAAGGGAAGCACAUCAAAAACAGAGGGAAAAGUCUGAAGGCUUUCAGAUCACCUACAAGGCAACAAGAUUAGAAUUCCCUCUGAGUUCUUAAGAGGAACACUAGAGGUAAGAAGACAAUUGAGUAAUAUUUCUAAAGUACUAAAGAAAAACUUUGUAUAUAGUGUUUUGUAUUCAGCCAAAUUGUCACUCCAAUGUGAAAUCAUAAAACCUCUGGAUUCUCAAGGCCUCAGAAGGUUUGCCACAUGCAAACAUCCCCACUGAAAACACUCCCAGAGAAAGGAAGCCAGGAUGAAAAAUAAACCCUGGGGAUGCUGCAAGAGGAAAUCAAGUGCCCCCAUCUGCCUUGGCUCAGCUGGCCCCAAACUCCUGGUCUCUGUGUUGUGUGGACUCCUCCUGGCCAAGGGCCUGAUGCUGUGAGUCCUGUUUGUGUUCCUGACCUGCAGGUGCCACAGGACAGCAGUGAUGGAGGUUUCUGAUUGUAUCAGCCCAGCCUUGCCCCAGGACCCUUGGGUGCAUGAGUCACAGCAUGGAUCCAGGAUGAAUCCCAGUUCUUCCCCUGCCCAGCUAUUGGGAGCUGCCCUAAGCGUUGCCCCCCAUUUGUCUGUGAGGAAAGGCCAGCACUAAGCCUAUUGGAGAGAACUUUCAGCCCCUGAUCUCCCUGGUGGUGACCCCUCACCCCUGCACUGACCCCUCUUAGAUCUACUUCCCCUGCCCUGACUUUCGCCAUUGGAAAGACCUGGGGUGGGGGUUUCUGCAUCCGGGUCAACGCUCAGCUCAGCAUCUUCAGCUGUGCCCGGGCUCCUCUCCAGCACUCCGUGGUUCUCUCAGCCCCACCUCAGCAGGUCUCCAGGAUGCCUCACAUUUUCCCUGUUUGUUAGUGGUCUACCCGAGAGUCCUAUCAAUUUCCUCUUGUGCUUGAUUAAAUUCAACCUCUGAACUGAAAUGUGUCAGAGGCAACUAAGCAAGAAAGCAGAUGUAUCCCCUCACCCUCCUCCCCUCCCACCCUAAAUGAGAAAGAAAUGACUUAAAAAUAAAUAAUAAAAUUGAAACUAAGAAAGGCUGUAAUCAGCAGACUGGAAACUGAGGAAGUCCUAGAAGUAAAAGAAAAAAUCAGAUGCCUUAAAUGACAAGAGCAGUGGAUUCAGCAGCCUAAAACAGGACCCAGAACAUUCAAUGGAAUCUCAUCAUCAGGGGUCAAAAUUCUGUUUGUUUAACGUGUGAGGAGAUUCAUAGCCUAAAAGAGAAAAUCAAGUUGAACUAACAAUAUUUGAUGGUGGGUGAAAGAUAAAUGUUUUGGGGAACAGAAGAGGAGCACACAUCUGUGAAGCAAGAAAAGGCACAGUCAUUUUCCAACCAGGUAACAUCUAGCGAGACUGGGAUUGACUACUCAAAAUGGGGGUCCACCAUGAACAACCAAUUUGGGGUACCACUGCAUAGCAGCUGAAUGCCAGCCCUGAAAAAGGCCACCAUAAAGAAAGUACCAUUUUCUGGCCGGCUGCAGUGGUUCAUGCCUGUAAUCCCAGCACUUUGGGAGGCCACGGUGGGUGGAUCACCUGAGGUCGGGAUUUCGAGACCAGCCAGACCAACAUGGAGAAACCCCAUCUGUACUAAAAAUACAAAAUUAGCUGGGCGUGCUGGCACAUGCCUGUAAUCCCAGCUACUUGGGAGGCUGAGGCAGGAGAAUCGCUUGAACCUGGGAGGCAGAGGUUGUGGUGAGCUGAGAUCACGCCAUUGCACUCCAGCAUGGGCAAAAAGAGCAAAACUCCGUCUCCAAAAAAAAAAAAAAAAAAAAGAGAGAGAGAGAGAGUACCAUUUUCUUUUGCUCUUUCUGGGGAGGGGCAUUGAUAUGGUUUGGUUGUGUCCCCACCCAAGUCUCAUCUUGAAUUGUAGCUCUCAUAAUCCCCAUGUGUUGGGAGGGACCUGGUGGGAAGUAAUUGAAUCAUGGAGGCAAGUUUUCCCUUCCUUUUCUCCUGAUAAUGAUUAAGUCUCAUAAGAUCUGAUGGUUUUAUAAAGGCCAGUUCCCCUGUACAUGCUCUCUGCCACCAUGUAAGAUGUGCCUUUGCUCCUUCUUCACCUUCUGCCAUGAUUGUGAGGCCUACCUAGCUAUGUGGAACUGUGAGUCCAUCAAACCUCUUUUUCUUUAUAAAUUACCCAGCAUCAGGUAUUUCUUCAUAGCAGUAUGAAAAGGGACUAAUAUAGGCAUCGAACAGAAGUCUCUUCAUGUAUAUCUCAGCUCCUUCCACAUGACCAUCACCUAUCUGUGAGAGGCACAACUUUUGCUUUCUUUAUUUUUUUAAUCCUCAUUCCCUAUUUCCACUUGCCUUCCCCUCCAAGGCAACCACUCUAAUGCAUGUGAUAUGUAACCUUAAAUUUGAAUAUAUUCUUGUAAAGCCUGCAGCUUUUUUUUCUGUGACUGUAUUUUAACUUACAUAUAAGAAAUUGUGAUAGACAUUUUUCAUAUAUUCGUUUUGCUCCUUCCCGGGUACAUAUACAGAGCCCACUUCUUUUCAGUGCUUAUUCCAUUGUGUACAUAUCCCACAGUGUAUCAUUCUGAACCCAGGGUGCAUGUGCUGUUUUGCCUCCACUUCUUCAUAUUGCAAACAAUGCUGUGAGGAAUAUUGUCCAUCAUGUUCUCUGGUAGAAUCAGGUGAGAUUUCCUUUAGGACUUAUACCCAGGUGGCAUCAGCUGAGUUUUACGAUCUCAGAUGUCUAAGUAAUGCUGUCAGCUUGUGUUGCCCGAAACACGAAUCUAGACACUAGAGAUUAUUUUCUGUGAGUCUAUGUGAAGUACACAGCACAACCUAUGGAAUAGUAUUGCCAAUAAAAAAAAAUGGAAGGCAAGAGUAAAUGUAGCUGAGUGAUGCUACAUGGGGGCUAGAAGUAUGAUUAUCUUUUUAAAAAAAUUUUUUUCGAGUCUGAGUUUUGCUCUUGUUACCCAGGCUGGAGAGCAGUGGUGCGAUCGUGGCUCAUUGCAACCUCCGCCUCCCAGGUUCAAGUGAUUCUCCUGCUUCAGCCUCUGGAGUACCUGGGAUUACAGGCACCCACGACCACGCCCAGCUAACCUUUUGUAUUUUUAGUAGAGAUGGGGUUUCAUCAUGUUGGUCAGGCUGGUCUCAAACUCCUGACCUCAGGUGAUCCACCUGCCUCAGCCUCCCAAAGUGCAGGGAUUACAGGCAUGAGCCACCGUGCCCAGCCGAUUAUCUCUUUUUUGUGAGAUACUUUUGUGCAUGCUUGGGAAUUUUCAUAAUUAAAAUGAUACCUAAAAAUAAACAGUUGUGUGUCGAAGCCACUGCUGUUUGGUUUUCAGUCAUAUGUGGCUGAACCCAAUCUUUUCUCGAUUUACUGAACUUAUGCAACUGCAGCAGAUUGGGACGUGUUCACUUACAGUAUGGAAAUACUGAGCUUCACUUAAAGAACAUGGGUAGUGGGAUAAAAGUGGACUAAACAAAAAUAGGUCUUCCUCAAUCA